AUGAUGCUCGGACCGUCGGUCUAUCGAGAAAUUUCACCCGUUCAGUGGAAGAUCUUCUCCAUGUUGU
RNAcentral lists this microRNA precursor (67 nucleotides) under Bombyx mori (domestic silkworm). Its description in RNAcentral is "mir-2774 microRNA precursor family". It matches the Rfam family "mir-2774 microRNA precursor family". Lineage: Eukaryota; Metazoa; Arthropoda; Insecta; Lepidoptera; Bombycidae. The record is from Rfam by way of RNAcentral.